RNAcentral lists this small nuclear RNA (337 nucleotides) under Callithrix jacchus (white-tufted-ear marmoset). RNAcentral's name for it is "7SK RNA". It matches the Rfam family "7SK RNA". From Rfam's summary of the family: 7SK was discovered as an abundant small nuclear RNA in the mid-70s but a possible function has only recently been suggested. Two independent studies have found that 7SK RNA binds the CDK9/cyclin T complex (known as elongation factor P-TEFb). P-TEFb activates transcription by phosphorylating the C-terminal domain of RNA polymerase II. The record is from Rfam by way of RNAcentral. Lineage: Eukaryota; Metazoa; Chordata; Mammalia; Primates; Cebidae.
AGAUAUGAGAGUAAUCUGGCUGCAACAUCUGUCACCUCGUUGAUGGCCAGGACUGAUUCAGCUAAUCUGGAUGACUUGGCAGGUGUCUUUUUCCUGCCUCACUACUCCAUGUGUGCCCUUUCUGAAGCUACUUGCUAGGUUGAAGAAGAUGACCUUCCCAAAUAGAGAACCAUUCUUCACUGAAGGGUACACAAGCAGCUGUGUUCCCCUGCUAGAACCUCUAAAUAUGCUGUCAAGGAUACAGGUCCAAGUGGUAAGACUUCAGAAGUAAAAGGCAGAAAGUAAGAAUCAAAGGAUCCUGAGAAGAGCAAUUCAGUGGAGUAUCAUUACUUCCUUU